GAUGAACGCUAGCGAUAGGCUUAACACAUGCAAGUCGAGGGGCAGCAUGGUCUUAGCUUGCUAAGGCUGAUGGCGACCGGCGCACGGGUGCGUAACGCGUAUGCAACUUGCCUCACAGAGGGGGAUAACCCGUCGAAAGACGGACUAAUACCGCGUACACUCUAUGUUGGGCAUCCAAUGUAGAGGAAAUGAAAUUCGCUGUGAGAUAGGCAUGCGUCCCAUUAGCUAGUUGGUGAGGUAACGGCUCACCAAGGCGACGAUGGGUAGGGGAACUGAGAGGUUGAACCCCCACACUGGUACUGAGACACGGACCAGACUCCUACGGGAGGCAGCAGUGAGGAAUAUUGGUCAAUGGGCGAGGGCCUGAACCAGCCAAGUCGCGUGAAGGAUGACUGUCUUAUGGAUUGUAAACUUCUUUUAUACGGGAAUAACAAGAGUCACGUGUGGCUCCCUGCAUGUACCGUAUGAAUAAGCAUCGGCUAACUCCGUG
RNAcentral lists this ribosomal RNA (490 nucleotides) under uncultured bacterium. RNAcentral describes it as "partial 16S ribosomal RNA". It matches the Rfam family "Bacterial small subunit ribosomal RNA", at positions 28 to 507 of the family's 1533-position model. The record is from RNAcentral.